RNAcentral lists this ribosomal RNA (253 nucleotides) under uncultured bacterium. RNAcentral's name for it is "partial 16S ribosomal RNA". It matches the Rfam family "Bacterial small subunit ribosomal RNA", at positions 524 to 776 of the family's 1533-position model. The record is from RNAcentral.
UACAGGGGGGGCAAGCGUUGUUCGGAAUUACUGGGCGUAAAGGGUUUGUAGGUGGCUUGUUAAGUCAGACGUGAAAUCCCUCAGCUUAACUGGGGAACUGCGUCUGAUACUGAUGAGCUUGAGUGCAGGAGAGGAACGCGGAAUUCCAGGUGUAGCGGUGAAAUGCGUAGAUAUCCGGAGGAACACCGGUGGCGAAGGCGGCUUCCUGGACCGACACUGACGCUGAGGCGCGAAAGCUAGGGGAGCAAACGGG